AUAUCCUCAACCUUCUCUCUUUGAGAGAGAAGGCUUGGACUUUGGAGGCUUCUGCUGGCCUCUACUUUGAAGCCAGCUCCUCUUAAACGCAUUAGCAGGUUUUGGUCAGUCCUUGACGUGAUAAGAUACUUUCUACGUUCGGGGCUUGGCUUUUUGAGACCUGCUUCUAAUCACUCGUAAUGAACC
RNAcentral lists this unclassified non-coding RNA (186 nucleotides) under uncultured Lactifluus. RNAcentral describes it as "sequence contains ITS2". Lineage: Eukaryota; Fungi; Basidiomycota; Agaricomycetes; Russulales; Russulaceae. The record is from RNAcentral.